UGGGGAAUAUUGGGCAAUGGGGGAAACCCUGACCCAGCAACGCCGCGUGAGUGAAGAAGGCCUUCGGGUUGUAAAGCUCUGUCGCAGGGGACGAAGAAAGUGACGGUACCCUGUGAGGAAGCCCCGGCUAACUACGUGCCAGCAGCCGCGGUAAUACGUAGGGGGCGAGCGUUGUCCGGAAUUACUGGGCGUAAAGGGUGCGUAGGUGGCUUGUUAAGUUGGAUGUGAAAUCCCCGGGCUCAACUUGGGUGGUGCAUUCAAAACUGGCGAGCUAGAGUGCAGGAGAGGGAAGCGGAAUUCCUAGUGUAGCGGUGAAAUGCGUAGAUAUUAGGAGGAACACCAGUGGCGAAGGCGGCUUUCUGGACUGUAACUGACACUGAGGCACGAAAGCGUGGGGAGC
Molecule: ribosomal RNA, 400 nt
Filed under: uncultured bacterium
Lineage: Bacteria
Description: bacterial SSU rRNA
Rfam family: Bacterial small subunit ribosomal RNA
Source: RNAcentral